GGAGGUAGAGAGAGAAAGGGAUGGAGGUAGAGAGAGAAAGGGAUGGAGGUAGAGAGAGAAAGGGAUGGAGGUAGAGAGAGAAAGGGAUGGAGGUAGAGAGAGAAAGGGAUGGAGGUAGAGAGAGAUGGAGGGAGAGGGGGAUAGAGGUAGCGGGGGAUGAGGUAGAGAGAGAAAGGGAUGGAGGUAGAGAGAGAUGGAGGGAGAGGGGACAGAGGUAGAGAGAGAUGGAGGUAGAGGGGGAUGGAGGUAGAGAGAGAAAGGGAUGGAGGUAGAGAGAGAUGGAGGGAGAAGUGGAUGGAGGUAGAGGGGGAUGAGGUAGAGAGAGAAAGGGAUGGAGGUAGAGAGGGAUGGAGGGAGAGGGGACAGAGGUAGAGAGAGAUGGAGGUAGAGGGGGAUGGAGAUAGAGAGAGAAAGGGAUGGAGGUAGAGAGAGAUGGAGGGAGAGGGGGAUGGAGGUAGAGAGAGAAAGGGAUGGAGGUAGAGAUAGAUGGAGGUAGAGGGGGAUGGAGGUAGAGGGGGAUGGAGGUAGAGGGAGAAAGGGAUGGAGGUAGAGAGAUGGAGGGAGAGGGAGAAAGGGAUGGAGGUAGAGGGAGAUGGAGGUAGAGGGAGAAAGGGAUGGAGGUAGAGGGAGAAAGGGAUGGAGGUAGAGGGGAUGGAGG
Molecule: long non-coding RNA, 658 nt
Organism: Oncorhynchus keta (chum salmon)
Lineage: Eukaryota; Metazoa; Chordata; Actinopteri; Salmoniformes; Salmonidae
Exons: 3
Source: RefSeq, a predicted model, not a curated record